GCUUCUAUAGCUCAACGGUAGAGCGUGUUACUGUUAAUAACCUGAUAGAUGUUCGAUUCAUCUUAGAGGCU
Molecule: transfer RNA, 71 nt
Filed under: Clonostachys compactiuscula
Lineage: Eukaryota; Fungi; Ascomycota; Sordariomycetes; Hypocreales; Bionectriaceae
Description: tRNA-Asn
Rfam family: tRNA
About the family: Transfer RNA (tRNA) molecules are approximately 80 nucleotides in length. Their secondary structure includes four short double-helical elements and three loops (D, anti-codon, and T loops). Further hydrogen bonds mediate the characteristic L-shaped molecular structure. tRNAs have two regions of fundamental functional importance: the anti-codon, which is responsible for specific mRNA codon recognition, and the 3' end, to which the tRNAs corresponding amino acid is attached (by aminoacyl-tRNA synthetases). tRNAs cope with the degeneracy of the genetic code in two manners: having more than one tRNA (with a specific anti-codon) for a particular amino acid; and 'wobble' base-pairing, i.e. permitting non-standard base-pairing at the 3rd anti-codon position.
Source: RNAcentral